AAUCUGUCUUUAUUAGGAACGGUAUUGUUCGACAGUCUUUCAUAAUCAAGACAUGGUAGUGUGAACAUGCUAGGGAAUAGUUACCUGUUUGAACGUUACAAUUUUCGUGUUUAGCAAGUUUUUGAGCAAUUGCUAAGAAGUUGUUAGUUGUUAGAUAAAAUAUAAAAUCUGGUUAUUCGAAAGCUGACUUGCAAUUUUCUAUAAAAAGGAUUUAUUCAGAGAUGGGCCAUACGGCAGACAGAUAGACUAUUCUACAUGUGGAAAAUCCUCCCCUGAUCCACUUCGUGAUACACAAAGAAGCUUCUGCCAGUAACACAAUUCUUCAUAAAUUCUUUUCCAUGCUGUUAUGCGUAAACACAAUACCGCUUCCUGUCCUAUGCUUAUCUUUCAUUCGACACAUUAAACCAAAGAUAUAAUCUAAACUAUCGGUUUUUCGACAUAAAUAGGUUAAUACCUUUUUAUAUGAUAUGAAACGUUACGAUAUCGGUCACAUCACUAUUGUUUACAAAGCACGAGUUUCGACUGAUUGGUAGGUUAAAAAAAAAGGACAAUAACAAGAAAGAACCGAUUCGGAAGGACGAACCUUUCGUUUGCCUCCGAAUCUCUCAUUAAACAGGUCAUAUUGUAGGAUGUUAAUAUACUUUCCGCGGUGAACACAUGAACGCACAAAAGAUAUAUCGAUGAUAACAUUAUUUCGUUCAACGGAAUCAUCGAACAACACAAACAAUUAUUUUCCACAUUAUUUUCCGAGAUAGGAAGGCGCAGUUCCGUUUUUAACGGAAACUACGAGGGUUGACAGACCCAUCUCGUUAUUUUCCAUUUAUAAUUUGUACAAAAUGAAAUUGAAUAAUCACCGCGAUGUGUGUAUUAUCGUCUGCUUAUACUUUAAUUCGUACAACCCGUGCCCACGUCUGCACGCUACUUGAACGGACAGCACAUCAAAAUCAGCUUCGUGCUUAAUGUAUUAAAUGCCAUUGCAUCACCGUAAUCGAUACGAUUCACGUAUUUCACGCAAUGUAAUUUUUUUGAAAGCAAAAACAUUUCAGUCACGGCGUCUACCCUCA
Molecule: long non-coding RNA, 1064 nt
Organism: Bombus impatiens (common eastern bumble bee)
Lineage: Eukaryota; Metazoa; Arthropoda; Insecta; Hymenoptera; Apidae
Exons: 5
Source: RefSeq, a predicted model, not a curated record